GCUGGCCAGAAGCUCGUCCCAGGCCCGCCUCUUUGCCUCCUUAAUGGCUCGUUGAAGGAGCCUUCGCGCUUCGCUGUAGGCCUCGUACAGACGAACCACCGUGUCUUCGUCCACCCGCCGCCUACGGCGGGAUCUGAUGUACCGGCGCCGGGCGCGGAUGCAUGUCUCGCGGGGACGAGCUAUCUCCUCGGACCACCAGUACACAGCGCAGGCGCGGCGCGGGGCUCCAGACCGCGGCAUACACGAAUCGCAGAUCGCGUGCAUGUCGCUCCUCAGCCUGGUCGCUCCCGCUUCCGCGUCCUCGUCGGUCCUGGAUUCUUCUAACCAAGCGACGGCUAUAGCGGCCGCCGCCAUGAAGUCCUCGUCGCGGCGGGUCACCGCCCACCGCGGGAAUCUUCUUCUCCUUCACGAUGGGCCGAUAGGCCCGCGCGCACCCAACGAACGGCCGCCUAUCACGCCGCCAACCGCCAAUUCCAUGAAGAUGAAGAGGUGGUCCGAGAGGGUCUCCUCCGGGGAGACCUCCCAACCGGAAACACGGCGGGAUGCGGCAGGGUCGAGUGCGGCCGCCCAGUCCUGUACGUCGAGCCCCCUUCCGUUGGCCCUGCGGGAGCCCCACGCCGUUGAGUGGGCGUUGAAAUAGCCGAGGACCAGUGACGGGCAGGCG
Long non-coding RNA from Bombus huntii, 664 nucleotides. RefSeq lists it as uncharacterized. The transcript has 3 exons. NCBI's taxonomy places the organism in Eukaryota, Metazoa, Arthropoda, Insecta, Hymenoptera, Apidae. The record is from RefSeq and is a predicted model, not a curated record.